RNAcentral lists this ribosomal RNA (498 nucleotides) under uncultured bacterium. RNAcentral describes it as "partial 16S ribosomal RNA". It matches the Rfam family "Bacterial small subunit ribosomal RNA", at positions 30 to 523 of the family's 1533-position model. The record is from RNAcentral.
AUUGAACGCUGGCGGCAUGCCUUACACAUGCAAGUCGAACGGUAACGGGCCUUCGGGUGCCGACGAGUGGCGAACGGGUGAGUAAUGCAUCGGAACGUACUUUUCAGUGGGGGAUAACUAUCCGAAAGGAUAGCUAAUACCGCAUAUUCUGUGAGCAGGAAAGCAGGGGAUCGCAAGACCUUGCGCUGAUUGAGCGGCCGAUAUCAGAUUAGCUAGUUGGUGGGGUAAAGGCCUACCAAGGCUACGAUCUGUAGCGGGUCUGAGAGGAUGAUCCGCCACACUGGAACUGAGACACGGUCCAGACUCCUACGGGAGGCAGCAGUGGGGAAUUUUGGACAAUGGGGGCAACCCUGAUCCAGCCAUGCCGCGUGAGUGAAGAAGGCCUUCGGGUUGUAAAGCUCUUUCGGACGGGAAGAAAUCGCAUCGGCUAAUACCUGGUGCGGAUGACGGUACCGUAAUAAGAAGCACCGGCUAACUACGUGCCAGCAGCCGCGGUAA